UACGAAGUGGGCUAGCGUUGUUCGGAAUUACUGGGCGUAAAGGGCGCGUAGGCGGCCUUGUCAGUCAGAAGUGAAAGCCCCGGGCUCAACCUGGGAAUUGCUUUUGAUACUGCAAGGCUAGAGUUUCGGAGAGGAUGGUGGAAUUCCCAGUGUAGAGGUGAAAUUCGUAGAUAUUGGGAAGAACACCGGUGGCGAAGGCGGCCAUCUGGACGAACACUGACGCUGAGGCGAGAAAGCGUGGGGAGCAAACAGG
This 253-nucleotide ribosomal RNA is filed under the name uncultured bacterium. Its description in RNAcentral is "partial 16S ribosomal RNA". It matches the Rfam family "Bacterial small subunit ribosomal RNA", at positions 524 to 776 of the family's 1533-position model. The record is from RNAcentral.